UGCGUAGGCGGAAUGAUAAGUUAGUGGUGAAAGCCCCCGGCUCAACCGGGGAACUGCCAUUAAUACUGUCAUUCUUGAGUAUAGUUGAAGUGGGCGGAAUGUAUCAUGUAGCGGUGAAAUGCUUAGAUAUGAUACAGAACUCCGAUAGCGUAGGCAGCUUGCUAAACUAUAACUGACGCUCAGGCACGAAAGCGUGGGGAGCAAACAGGAUUAGAUACCCUGGUAGUCC
RNAcentral lists this ribosomal RNA (229 nucleotides) under uncultured bacterium. Its description in RNAcentral is "partial 16S ribosomal RNA". It matches the Rfam family "Bacterial small subunit ribosomal RNA", at positions 568 to 796 of the family's 1533-position model. The record is from RNAcentral.